This 320-nucleotide unclassified non-coding RNA is filed under the name plant metagenome. RNAcentral describes it as "partial contains 5.8S ribosomal RNA, internal transcribed spacer 2, and large subunit ribosomal RNA". The stretch from base 1 to 105 matches the Rfam family "5.8S ribosomal RNA", at positions 50 to 154 of the family's 154-position model. The record is from RNAcentral.
GAAAUGCGAUAAGUAAUGUGAAUUGCAGAAUUCAGUGAAUCAUCGAAUCUUUGAACGCACAUUGCGCCCGCCAGUAUUCUGGCGGGCAUGCCUGUUCGAGCGUCAUUACAACCCUCAGGCCCCCGGGCCUGGCGUUGGGGAUCGGCGGAAGCCCCCUGCGGGCACAACGCCGUCCCCCAAAUAUAGUGGCGGUCCCGCCGCAGCUUCCAUUGCGUAGUAGCUAACACCUCGCAACUGGAGAGCGGCGCGGCCACGCCGUAAAACACCCAACUUCUGAAUGUUGACCUCGAAUCAGGUAGGAAUACCCGCUGAACUUAAGC